Molecule: ribosomal RNA, 191 nt
Filed under: Calonectria citri
Lineage: Eukaryota; Fungi; Ascomycota; Sordariomycetes; Hypocreales; Nectriaceae
Description: partial 18S ribosomal RNA
Rfam family: Eukaryotic small subunit ribosomal RNA
Source: RNAcentral
AUUUACGUCCCCUGCCCUUUGUACACACCGCCUGUCGCUACUACCGAUUGAUGGCUCAGUGAGGCGUCCGGACUGGCCCAGAGAGGCGGGCAACUGCCACUCAGGGCCGGAAAGCUCUCCAAACUCGGUCAUUUAGAGGAAGUAAAAGUCGUAACAAGGUCUCCGUUGCUGAACCAGCGGAGGGAUCAUUA